RNAcentral lists this transfer RNA (73 nucleotides) under Ovis aries (sheep). It matches the Rfam family "tRNA". Rfam says of the family: Transfer RNA (tRNA) molecules are approximately 80 nucleotides in length. The record is from Rfam by way of RNAcentral. Lineage: Eukaryota; Metazoa; Chordata; Mammalia; Artiodactyla; Bovidae.
UCCCUGAUAGCUUAGUUGGGUAAAGAAUCCGCCUGCAAUGCAGGAGACCCUGGUUUGAUUCCUGGGUUGGGAA